This 332-nucleotide unclassified non-coding RNA is filed under the name soil metagenome. RNAcentral describes it as "partial contains 5.8S ribosomal RNA, internal transcribed spacer 2, and large subunit ribosomal RNA". The stretch from base 1 to 121 matches the Rfam family "5.8S ribosomal RNA", at positions 35 to 154 of the family's 154-position model. The record is from RNAcentral.
GAUGAAGAACGUAGCGAAAUGCGAUAAGUAAUGCGAAUUGCAGAAUUUCCGUGAGUCAUCGAAUCUUUGAACGCACAUUGCGCCCACUGGUAUUCCUUAGGGCAUGCCUGUUCGAGCGUCAUUUAAACCUUCAAGCUCAGCUUGGUGUUGGGUGACUGUCCGCUUCACCGCGGACUCGCCUCAAAAUUAUUGGCGGCCGGUACAUUGGCUUCGAGCGCAGCAGAAACGCGAACUCGGGCCCGUCGUAUUGGCUCCCAGAAGCUAUCUUCACAAUUUUGACCUCGGAUCAGGUAGGGAUACCCGCUGAACUUAAGCAUAUCAAUAACGGAGGA